RNAcentral lists this non-coding RNA (87 nucleotides) under Pseudomonas rhodesiae. The record is from RNAcentral. Lineage: Bacteria; Pseudomonadati; Pseudomonadota; Gammaproteobacteria; Pseudomonadales; Pseudomonadaceae.
CGCUAUGGCGGCUGUGCGUGGGAUACCUUCGGGUGUGCCGGGUUCCUUGGUAACCGGUCCGCGAACCUGUGCACAGCUGCCACCUUC